This is a non-coding RNA of Triticum urartu, 126 nucleotides long. NCBI's taxonomy places the organism in Eukaryota, Viridiplantae, Streptophyta, Magnoliopsida, Poales, Poaceae. The record is from Rfam.
UGUGUACUCCCUUCGUCCGAAAAAGUUUGUCCCUCAAAUAGAUGUAUCUAGCACCAAGUUUGUGUUAGAUAGAUUCAUUUGAGGAACAAGUUUGAGACAAGUUUUUUCGGACGAGGGAAGUAAAUG